CAAAGAAGGAGACACAGAGAGACAGCAGAAAACAGAAGCAGAGACUGGAGCAAUUCGACGGUAAGCACAAGCCAGGUUUGCCAGAGCCCCCAGAAGCCAGAGGACGCGGAAGGAUCCUCUCCUGUAGCGCCCAGGGGAGCACAGCUCUGCAGACAGCUUGGUUUAGUACUUCUGCCCUCCAGAACCGUGAGAGGACACACGUCUGCGGAUUGAUACUUCCGGGUCUGUGGUCACCUGUUAUGGCAGCCACAAGAGGCUCGUCUGCCCCUUUUCUCUCCCCUUCCUUCAUGCUGAUCACCACGGAGGACAACCCUGGACUGCAGGGGUGGUGAUCACCCCCCAUUUUACCAAACAGAAGCAGAGAGUGACCGCGGGUGCCCACCUGACCCCGUGUCUCCAGCGGGAACGUGAAGCUGAUGCUGCUCCCGCCCCAGGCCUGAAGCCGGCCCCCUGCCCCAAACCAGCCUGACCAGCGGCACCGUGGAAACCCACCGGGAUCUCUGCCACCCACAGGAGGCUGGGGCAUCUCUCACCCCCUCUGUGCCUCAGUUUCCUAAUCUGUCACACAGGGAGGCUGGACCCAAACCAAUUGAUUGUUGUCAUGGGUGGAGCCGGAACCCGCUAUGGCUCCCUCCUGCCCUCGGGAUAAAAUGCAGCCUCUGCCGUGCGGCCUCCUCACUCCCUCCCUCUCACCUUUUCAAGGUCCUGGAACCAUCUCUGCACCUGUAUCCCCCACCCCACCUGUCACCUUCAGGGCACUAGCAACACUCAACUCAUGUCACUUCCUCCAGGAAGCCCUCCCUGAAUUCCCGAACAAAGCUCCUGGUGUGGGCACCUGCUUUCACUCUUGGGCGGUGUUGUCUUCAUCGGUUCACUCAAUCAGGGUCUCAACUGGGGUAAUUCUGUCCCCUCAGGGGACACUGGGCGGUGUCGGGGGACAUCUGUAAUUGUCAUGACGGAGGGAAGUGGGACCUUCCCUGACUAAUAUUCCCUCACAUCGGUCCAUGCUCCUGGCAUGGAGUGGGUGGAGGCCAGGGAUGCUGCUCAGCACCCUGCAGUGCCCAGGACGGCCUCACCCCAGAGAACAGUCCAGUGUCAGUGUCCACAGUGCCCAGGGGGAGAGACCUGCUUUAAUUAUUUGGGAAUAAACUGAGUGUCCUCCCUACUCACACCAGACACUGGAAUAAACUCCAGAUGGAGCAGACGGCAUAAACCCGGGAGCCCCAGCUCCUGGGACUCAUCUCCUCUCUCUCUUCCCACUCAGGUGUGGAUUUCAAUGUGUGCAGCCUCCUGGGACCUCCGCAGGGCAGAGGAUCAUGGGAUGCAGAAUCUCUUGGGUAAACAUCUGGUGAAGACUUGGACCAGAUCCCUGAUCUUAAUGAAGGAGGUGACGGUCCGGCCCAGGUGACAGGCACAGUUAAUGUGAUGAUCACAACACAGUUGCCAUGUGACCCUGGGCACGUCAGCCCCUCUCAGCUACUGUUUUCUCCUAUGUGAAGUGGAGAUCAUUAUCUCAAUCUCAACAUGGCAAACAACACGGCAAGUGUAUGAGUCAGCUACUGCUGAGUAACAACAGCGGCAACAAAGACACCAUUUGCCAUCUCACAACUUCUGUGUGUCAAGAGUCUGGCUUAACUGGGUCCCCCGCUCAGAGUCUUAUAAGCCUAAAAUCAAGGUAUGGGCUGGGCCGAGUUGUCAUCUGGAAUUUGGGGUCCUCUUCUGAGCUAGUUUGGUUAUCGGCAGAAUUCAUUUCCUUGCAGCUCUAGGAAUGAGGUCCCUGUUUACCUACUGGCUGUUGGAUGUGAGUGCUCUGAGCCCCUAGAGGCUACUCUCAGGUGUCUGCCACAUGGACCCUCCACAGGCAGCUCACGACAUAGCUGUUUGCUUUCUUUAAGGCAAGAAACCCCUUCCCUUUCUCUCUUUCUUUCAACUGUGGUGUGUGUGUGUGUGUGUAUAUAUAUAUAUAACAUAAGACGGAUCAUCUUAACCACGUUUAUGUGUACGGUUCAGUGAUGUUAAGUAUACUCACACUGCUGUGCAAUGGCUCUCCAGAACCUUCCAUCUUGUAAAACUGAGACACUGUAUCCACUGAACAACAGCUCCCCUCUUCCCUCCCCCAGCCCCUAGCACCCACCAUUCUCCCUUCUGUCUCUCUGAAUUUGACACCUCGGGAUGUGCUUCUGGUCUCUUUUAUGGGCUCACCUGAUGAGGUCAGGCCCACCCAGGAUGUCUCCUUUUUGAUGAGCUCAGGUCAACUGACUAGGAAUCUUCGUCGCAUCUGCAAAAUCCCUUUACCGAACACACGACCUAACUGCAUUAACCUAACCACUGGAGUGACACCCCAUCGUAUUCGCAGGUCCAGCCCAUCCUCAAGUGCAGGGGAUUAGAUAAGAUGUGGGCACCAGGCGGUGGGGGUCUUGGGCGCCAUCUUGGAAUUCUGCCUAGGACUGUAGCUGUAAAAGACAUGGUGGCCAUUGCUGCUGUAGGUGCCAUUAGUAGGAAACACACACAAAGUGGCCCCCAAGGAGCACGUACUAUGCAUCAGGCUCUGUGCAAGGCACAGAGAAAACAGCAAAGAACUUUGGGGAAAGUUGAAGACUUGAGGUGAACAACUGGAUAUCUUAGUAGGUCUCUCUGAAGGUUGAGCAAAUGGAUAGGGGAUAUUGGGAGAUGGGUUAUGUCCCUUGGAAAGAACUCCAAAUGUCCCUUUCAAUAACUUUCCACUCUACCAGUCAUCUCCUCCUUCCAGAAAUUCUCAGGAGGCAGCGCUUGGUGGCUCUUCUGCAGAUGCCAGGAUGGUGACGGUGACAGCAGGCCACGCUCUUGUGUUUAGAAUAGGAGGUCCCCAAGGACACAGAGUCACAGACGGGUCAGCCGACUGACCCUAGAAGUGCCAUUUCUGAAAGAGGAAGAGAGAAAAGGGGUGAAAGGACGUUGAACCAGCCAAGGCAGACUACAGCAUUUUCAGGGCGUCUCCCCAAGAUCUCCAAUAAGGACAACUAGCAUCGACUAGGCUAAUCCCGUGACGGCCUGUUCUGCGGGGACAUCAUCACCCUGGUGCUGCCCUCUCCCCCAUUCUCUAGAGAAAGGAGCCCCAAAAGAACAGAUAAACUCUGCCUCCUAGAAAGGGAAGUCUCUCACCGUCAGCACUGUGGACAUCGGGACUGGAUCCAUCUCUGGGGUGAGGCUGCCCUGGCACUGCAGGGUGCUGAGCAGAGUCCCUGGCCUCCACCCACUCCCUGCCAGGAGCACCCCUUAGUUACACUGAGCUAUGAUCGCACCACUGCACUCGCACCUGGG
This 3300-nucleotide long non-coding RNA is filed under the name Homo sapiens (human). Its description in RNAcentral is "HSALNT0395640". Lineage: Eukaryota; Metazoa; Chordata; Mammalia; Primates; Hominidae. The record is from RNAcentral.